ACCACAUGGUGCACGGUUCUGCCUUCACCCCGACAUCCUCUCCGCCACCAAUGCUCUCCUCCACUCAGCUCCCCAUCCGCGGAAGAAUCAGAUUCGAUUCCGCGACAGCCGACAGUGACAGACCGCAUUCCAAGCCCCCCAAAAUCGCAUUUCCCUCUCCGAUCAAAUCAAACUCAAACCGACACACGACUCACACGGCUUCUCCGCCUCCGCAGAUCGCCGUCGCCUACUCGCGCCCCUCCACGCGUCGAUGGCCGCCGCGGACCCGCCACCGCGCGAGAAGGUCGUGCCCACGCUGAAGCGCAGCGCCAGCAUCGACCGGAUACCGGUGGACGCGCGCCGCAUCCUGCACCGCCUCGCCGGGGACCUCUGGGGCGGCGACAUGGACCCCGGCGCGCUGGCCGUGUCCCAGCUCAGGGGCGCCAUGACCAAUGAGGUCUUCCGGAUCACCUGGCUCGGCGGCGAGGCCGAGGGCAACGGCCCGCGCAAGGUGCUCGUGCGCAUCUACGGCCGGGGCGUCGAGGUCUUCUUCGACCGUGCCGACGAGGUCCGCACCUUCGAGUGCAUGUCGCGCCACGGCCAGGGGCCCCCGCCUCCUGGGCCGCUUUGCCAACGGCCGCGUCGAGGAGUUCAUCAACUCCAGUGUACACUACGCCUCUACCACCCUAAAUGCGUGAUGUGUCUGCUCGGAUCCAAUCCGCGAUUGGUUUUUGUCAUGGCUCACUCGCGUGUUGCUCGCGUCCUGGCCUUGCCAAACCCUCUCCGCCGCGGAUCUGCGCGACCCGGUAAUGUCCGUCGUGAUCUGCUGCCGCCAUCAACGCCCUACUCCCCUCCUAGAUCCCGUGAUCUGCUACGAAGCUGCCAUCAAUGCCCUCCUCCCCCUUCGCUCAGCUCCCCCUCGCGCCUUCGAUCCGCUACCGUGACCCGCUGCGAGGCGGCCAUCAACGCCCAUGUCCUCCUUCGCGCAGCUACCUUCCCAGGAUCUCGGGCGCUCCUUCGUCGCCAUACUUUUUGGUUCAGCGGGACGCCCAGCCCGUAGAUCGUUGCCCUCAAGAAGUAAUAGUCCAUACAAUACCUGGACUCGGCGCAUGAGGCCUAAGCUUUUGCUGAUCACUUCAAGAUGGCUCUGGACUGUUUCUUCGCUGUAUGGUUUGUUGUGGGAAAUGUGUGGGUGUUCGAUGGACAUUCUUCCGCCCAUGACGCACCCAACCUGUACAGGUGUCGGUGAGAGGUAUUCAAGUUGGAAUUGGAAUUGUAGGUUAUAGUCCACUAGAAGAGGUUUUUUUUGUGCAGUGGAGCAAAACUAGCUGACUCGCUGUCAGAGCAAGACUUCCGCAAGGGGAACUCAAACUAUUACCUAUAUGUGCAUAAUACAUGGUUCAACUAUCCUUGCUUUUAAACAUCUCCUUGAUCUUUGAUACAUUUUUUGGAUUUUGCUCAAGUAUUUGACAUAUACAAGGGUCCCAUCCACGAUGCUUGGAGCAAACUGCUUGAUAUAUGCAAAAUGGAACUAUGCAUAUACGAGCAAAAUGGAACUAUGCAUAGUUCCAGUUUUCUCUGUCUAAAAUAACCAUUAACUGUAGUUGAUUAAUGGGCUUGUUCAAGUACAGUGACGAGAUAAUUAUUUCUCUGUCUAAUCGUAGUUGCUGAAUCAAUAAGGAAAAACGCAACAGACCAUGAUAAUAAUGAGGCAUUGUUCCUUUAAACCUUUACCAAUAAAUGUCGUGCGUGCCUAAAAUAUUGAUCUUGCAUUGAUUAGAAAAGCAUAAUGUAUUCUUAAUUUCUAUCUUUUCAAAUUUCCAGUUAUCAGAUUUAAUCACCCCUGCGUGUUGUAUACUCGUAUAAUAGGGGUUGCCUCAUGGGAAACUUGGCUGGGCCAUUGAUGAGGAUUUUGGUUCGUUUGAGGCACUUGUGUAAAGAAGAUGAAUGCAGAUGGCGCUGCUUUACAAGGGUCUAGAUGGGUGGUAUGUAUAUUAUGCUUUGUUUAUGUUUAUCGAGAAUAGUUGAAGGUGUGUUCUGUUGACCAUUAACCUCAUGCUUCUCUAAAGUGGUUAGCUUUGGAUAAAGAGGCAAAAAAGCUUUCAGUUAAAACUACUAAAACUACAACUAAUCAGGUGAAACAUGUCGUCCAUAUCUGUUUGUUCUUCAUAUGAUACAACAUGGCUAUUCCCAAUUAUCAUUCUUGAAUCUUGAUCGAAGUCGUGUUAGUGACAACUUCCCUGUACCUAGGUGCCCAUAGGCAAGCUUAAUAGACACAUGUCAUCUUUCAUGUUGCAAUUGUUGUUCCAGAAUGUGUCCAUCUUUAAAAGGUAAGGAAUUGGUUAGGCUUUUACUUCCAUGGAAUUUUUUACUUGCUAAAAUGGGAACAAGUGGUUGGUGAUGAAAUGUAGAUCUGCUCCUAAAAACUUCGAAGCAAUCCUGAGGACAUACAUCAGUAAGUCAUUCAUUUUGACUGUGUUGAUAUUUGUAGUAUGCCUUUUUGGAUAGAUGGUGUUGCAUUCCUCUUAUAACCAUACUUGCUAUUUUCUUAUAUGAUUGAAUAAAUAUGAUUGUAGUUUACUGUUGUUCUCCCGUUAUCUGAAUCUUGACUCUAAUCCCUUGGUGAGCUCAUAUGGGAUAUAAUGUUGUAGCAUUGAGGGUUUCAUCCCAAGUUGUUUACUUCAGUGCUCGUGCAUGUACCGAAUAAAACUAGAACAGCUAUUGACUCAUUUCACCUUUUAGAUGAUUGUGUGUGUAUGUCGUUUCACUUUUUAUUCAUUUGUGAUCCAAUUUGGUGCAUGUACUGAUUGAAUUUGAUCCGUCUGUUAAUAAAAUACUAAUGUUUUACUAUCCCGUUUAACACACCCGUUGUGUGUUUCUUGGGAUUCCAAUGUGUUUAGUAUUUUUAUGAUAAUUAUGGGAUAUGCUACCAUUUUGCAUCUGUCUGUUAUACAUACUAUAUUCUUUUUGUACGGCGCACUUGUAUUUGUUCCUAUUUCAUUCUCUCACCUGCUUUUUUCAUGCUUCUCCUUUAGAUGUACCAUUGAACAUACAUACAACUAACCAUAAGGGCACUAACAUUUAGUUGAAUAUUUUGUAUGUCGUUGGUCCAUUGCAAUGCACGGGCAUCUAACUAGUGAUUUCUAUAAAUUCCAAAGGCCUACUCACAGUUACGGUGGUUAUUUUAGUACCAUAUUGCUAUUUUAGGUGGAGUGAAGGUAACUUGAAUAGUUGAGUUAUCUUCACUUACUUGAAGCUAUUGAGGAUGGGAAAAAAGAACACACGCGUGCUCGCUUGCCUCGUCGGUCGGGACGGAUUUGCUGCUCGAUAUUUUUGCAUGCAUGGAGAAAAUUACGUUGGCAUAUUUUUGUGAUCACACGGCUAAUUAUUUACCCUAGGAAAAAGGAGUCCUGGUAUAGUGGGCUAGGGAGAGUGGGCCCACACGUGAACACCGAACACGCUCCUUUUUAAACGCCUCCCCGUACCCCGCUCCAUAAAUGCAAGAGGUUUAGGUACUGUUUGCGUACUCGGAGUGGGGGAGUAACUGCGCGAUCCAAGGUACUGUGCUGUAGCAAUUGUUGCCUAACCAUAACCACUGACCAAACCAUGCUACGAGACACUCCCGUACCCUGCCAGGUGGCAGGGCAGUAGGGUAGGGCACACAACAGCCGGGCGUCGGCAAGCCCAGCCCAGGCCUGCAGUGCCACACCUGCACUGCACCCCGUGAAUCUUCUAUCCUUCCUCUCUCCCUCCGUUACUCCUCCCUCCCACCCUCUUAACUCUGUGCACAGGCGGAGAGAGCCUCUGCAGGCCGUAGGAGAGCAGCGUUGUUGUAGCAGGGUGGUCGGGGUCGGGGUCGGGGGUAAGGUAAAGACAGCAAGUGGGCCCCCACCCACGGUUGCGAUGUGUGUAUGUAGUUGCAACGGUCUGGCCGCGAGCCUGAUCGUACAAGGAGGACCCAGAAGCAAAGCAAACAAGAAGCUUGGCUGCUCUGGACUGCAACGGUCGACCCGGCCCGGGAUUUCAUGUGUCGCGGUCGCGGACGCUCUCGGCCUCGGCUUUUGCCGUGGGCCAGAGCAGAGCAGGACGGGGAAAGCCGGGGGAAAAAAAGGACCACCCGUCGGGUAUAUCUAUCUAUCUACUUUCUUUCUUUCUUUCUCUUGGCAGUUUGGCGUGCGGCGGAUCC
Molecule: RNA transcript, 4165 nt
Organism: Zea mays
Lineage: Eukaryota; Viridiplantae; Streptophyta; Magnoliopsida; Poales; Poaceae
Gene name: putative choline kinase 2
Exons: 3
Source: RefSeq, marked predicted